Molecule: long non-coding RNA, 558 nt
Organism: Falco peregrinus (peregrine falcon)
Lineage: Eukaryota; Metazoa; Chordata; Aves; Falconiformes; Falconidae
Exons: 3
Source: RefSeq, a predicted model, not a curated record
UCUGGCGGGUGGAGGGGAGCGCAGCCGGCGGGGCCUCCCGCCUGCCUGAGGGGCGCUUUUCACUCUGCGCGGGCCCUUCCCGUUAGACCCCGCUGAACUGCAGCAAAAUCUGCCAGUCAUGGCAAAUUACAUGAAUGAUUCUGUGGAGGCUAAACCAAGAUUGCUGGACUCAUUUUCAUGCAUGGCUAAACACAGAAUUGAACCCCAUGCUCCAAAAGUGAAAGCACAUCAAGAGGAAGAAAACAUUGUCACUGAGUCUGAAUAUGACAAGGAUAUACAAUGAACUCCCAGGGAGAACAAAGUCUCUGGAGAGAAGCUGAACCAUUUGCAUCCUUGUUCACUGUGGAAGAUGCGGUGGGCUGACCCUGGCCGGACACCAGGUGCCCACCAGAGCUGCCCUGUCGCUGCCCUUCUCAGCCGGGCAGGGGGGAGAAGAAAUAACAAAAAUAACAAAAGGCUCAUGGGUCAAGGUAAGGAUGGGCAGAGCACUCACCAAUUACCAUCACGGGCAAAACAGACUCGACUUGGGGAAAUAUGUUUAAUUUACUGCCAGUCAUA